RNAcentral lists this long non-coding RNA (1160 nucleotides) under Phasianus colchicus (ring-necked pheasant). Its description in RNAcentral is "lncRNA (ENSPCLG00000018226.1)". Lineage: Eukaryota; Metazoa; Chordata; Aves; Galliformes; Phasianidae. The record is from RNAcentral.
GCAAUCCUCUUAAUUUAGUUAGUUUACAUAAUUACAUUUCUGCCUCCUACUCAGCUCAAUAAUUGCACGGAUGCCCUAUCUUGAAAACCCAUCUUUGUGCCUUAAUGGAAGGGUUUAAAUUAUGCUGACCCACUAUGCUAAUAACAGUGAUCAAUAACACCACUUCUUCUCUGUUCGUUUUUGAACAACUAUCUGAGCUGUUGUGUUAUUGUCACUGUAAUUGGGAUCUACAGUAAUAAUCACCUCUUCCAGGUGUUGCAGAGAUGGGGAGAACUGUUUCUGCUGUGGCAGCUUGGGACAGUUAGAAUUUUGUUUUCUUUUUUUUUCUUUUUUUUGCCCUUCAUCAUUGUUUGAGAAAUCAGUGAGCAAUCUCCUGUUGUUCUGCAAAUAAUUCCUCGGUAGCAGCUUGAGUUUACAAACUAGUAGCUUGAGGCCAGCCAACUGGUGCCACAUGGCGACACAGGACAUCAGUGGAAGGUCACUUGUUAAUAUAUGAUGAGUAUCUGGCUUUGUAAAUCCACCUACCUGAGAUCAGUCUGCUGGUGUCAGGCCUGCGACCAACAGCAAUGCUCAGGUGCAGACUACAGUUUUGUCUUCGAGAAGCUCUGGCGUUGAGGCACUUCCAUUCGGGUAACGACGAGGCCAUCUGUGUGCUCCCUGAAAAGCUGCCACAAGUGCUCCAGCAGCUGUGUCCAUGCCGGAGCGAGAGCUGCUCAGACACAUUGCCAGUCCCAUGUAAGCUGUGAGAUGACAGCAUGUAUUCUUGGGGUUUCUUCUGUGCUAUGUGUGACAAAAUACCUUGCAAGGUCAUAUUGCUUUUUUUUUUUUUUUUAAUGUAGGCUGAACAUGUGACUGUGGAAUGUGUAACCCACUAGUGGAGAAGAAAAAAAAAACAACAAAAAAACACCUUUACUGUAUAAUUAGUAACAAAUGACUACAGGGGCCCAAGAAAAAAACAGCAAAACAUGCCAAGCUUUGGUGCCAGGAGAAUUUCUGGCACAGGGACAAUUCCCUGAGAGAAGACAACGUGAUUAAAAAAACCCACAUUUCCCUGUUUCUCCUAGACUAGGGUUUCUUCUUACAAAAUUGAGAAUACCUUGAAGACUUCAGUAGCCCAGUUUGUUGGCACGCAGACGAGCGAUGCUGCAGCAGAACUGCAC